This is a long non-coding RNA of Gigantopelta aegis, 534 nucleotides long. RefSeq lists it as uncharacterized. The transcript is spliced from 3 exons. The record is from RefSeq and is a predicted model, not a curated record. NCBI's taxonomy places the organism in Eukaryota, Metazoa, Mollusca, Gastropoda, Neomphalida, Peltospiridae.
UGCUAGACCCGGCCUGUCUACGCGCCUUUUAUCAGCCCAACAAAAAAGCGUAGGACUGUCUGAUAAACAGGGUCAAGGUGAUACUAGCGCGCUUAUCUUUGCGACUGCCCAACGUUUGUUCAUUCAAAAUGGCUUCAGUAGCGAAACAAGUACUGCUUCGCUUGACCGCUCAGCCGACCCGUCGGGCUUUCUCCACCACCCAGGGGCUUAAGAGUUCAGGGUGGCAGCAACAUGGGGUUGUCGGUUCGAACCUCCCGUUUCGUAUCGAUAAUCGCUAUCGACUGGCAGUAGUGUUCGUCUUGUUUUUCGGUACGGGUUUCAAUCUGCCCUUCUGGGUGGUGCGUCACCAGCUCACCAAGAAAUGAGUUCGUCCGGGCCGUAAUACAGCCAUUGCAGACAUAUCGUUUCGUGACAGUGUGUGUUGUGUGUGACGUGACAACUUGUAAACAAGACAAUAAUUAAUACAGAUCAACAGAAGAUCUCAAACUAGUGUUUCGUUUAAACAUCUUCUUUCAUUAAAGUGUUUAUGACUUA